CCUACGCGUGGCAGCAGUGAGGAAUAUUGGUCAAUGGGCGCGAGCCUGAACCAGCCAAGUCGCGUGCGGGAAGACGGUCCUAUGGAUUGUAAACCUCUUUUGUCGGGGAGCAAAAGACGCCACGCGUGGCGUUCCGAGAGUACCUGAAGAAAAAGCAUCGGCGAACUCCGUGCCAGCAGCCGCGGUAAUACGGAGAAUGCGAGCGUUAUCCGGAUUUAUUGGGUUUACAGGGAGCGCAGGCGAGAGUUCAAGUCAGGGGUAAAUUGGGAGGGUCAACCUCAUCGAGCAGUUGAAACUGGUUUUCUUGAGUGAGUGAGAAGUAGGCGGAAUGCGUGGUGUAGCGGUGAAAUGCAUAGAUAUCACGCAGAACUCCGAUUGCGAAGGCAGCAUACCGGCGCUCAACUGACGCUCAUGCACGAAAGUGUGGGUAUCGAACAGGAUUAGAUACCCGAGUAGUC
Molecule: ribosomal RNA, 458 nt
Filed under: uncultured bacterium
Lineage: Bacteria
Description: partial 16S ribosomal RNA
Rfam family: Bacterial small subunit ribosomal RNA
Source: RNAcentral